Molecule: non-coding RNA, 1128 nt
Organism: Schizosaccharomyces pombe (fission yeast)
Lineage: Eukaryota; Fungi; Ascomycota; Schizosaccharomycetes; Schizosaccharomycetales; Schizosaccharomycetaceae
Source: the annotation of a GenBank genome assembly
UACACGAGACAUUUGAGGGGGUAGAGACUGGGAUACACGCUGCAGUUCAGCAUUUAACAUCUCGUAAAUAGGUCUCAAGUUACCAGGAAUAUGACUACGAUCUCCAGCAGGAUAUGUCAAUGGUGCACUAGUUGAUGCAGCGGUAGAAGAACGGCCUGCAGACGUUGCAAUUGGAGGUCGUGAAACUGCUGAAGAGCUUGGAAGCGCAGUACUGACAGGAGGUGGUUGAGGAAUUUGAGGUCUUGUAGCAGAAACUGGGGGUAAACGGCUGGAAACGGGAGGGAGUUGAGGUGUCACGGAGGGAGAAAGAGCGGAUGGGGAAGGAACGCUGACGGUUGGGGGCUCAUAAGCAGAAGCUCUCUGAGAAGCUGUGGGUGGUAAAGGCACCACUCGGUUAGCGGGUUGUUUAGGAGGUGGAACUAUCUGAGAUCCGCCAUGAGGCUUGUACGUAUGAGCAGGGUUAACAGUUGAAGAAGCCACUGCAAUUGGUGUAUAAGGGUUUGAGGGAGGCAUGUUUGGAGAGGAAGAAAUACGAGAAGCAGCAGCAACAGGUGACUGGGGUGCUACAGGUGUAUAAGGAUUUGGAUGACUGGGUUGUUGCACUGGAGGAACACGCGUACCACUUGCCGUAGGAGGGUGGUAAGUCUCACCGACCUUAGGAGGAGGUGGUGAUGCUAUAGCGGGAGCGCUUGCAGUCAUGGAUGCAGUAGGAGGAGGAGGAGGAAGGGUGCUAACGCUGCUAGUACGGGACAUUGCAGCUGGUUGAGCACUUGAAGCACCAGGGAAUGGGCUUCUUACCGGGGCCAUAGAAGGAGCAGCACGUCUCAUAGGUAGCUGACCAAGCAUGGGGGCAUCAUUCCAUCCAGCAGUGGUAGACGUACUGGGAGGAGGAAGUGGGUGGACAUCAGCAGGCGUUAUGUGGGAUGAUGUUGUAGCAUAAGGCGAAGUAUAUGAAGUCGUUCGUGGCACCGUUGGAAGUAUGGAGGACGCUUGAGAAGUUUUGGGUUGUACAGGCGCAUAUCCAGUUUGCUUAAUUUGAUGGAUAGGAGGGACUGCAUGGGGCUCAAGCAACAUGGUCAAUCUUUGAAUUUCUUCUUUUGCGCCAGGGAACUCUGUAGGUACAAGAUU